RNAcentral lists this ribosomal RNA (1429 nucleotides) under uncultured organism. RNAcentral describes it as "SSU rRNA". It matches the Rfam family "Bacterial small subunit ribosomal RNA". The record is from RNAcentral.
GGGCUUAACACAUGCAAGUCGAGGGGCAGCAUGGUCUUUUCUUGCUAAGGCCGAUGGCGACCGGCGCACGGGUGAGUAACACGUAUCCAACCUGCCGUCUACUCUUGGACAGCCUUCUGAAAGGAAGAUUAAUACAAGAUGGCAUCAUGAGUCCGCAUGUUCACAUGAUUAAAGGUAUUCCGGUAGACGAUGGGGAUGCGUUCCAUUAGAUAGUAGGCGGGGUAACGGCCCACCUAGUCUUCGAUGGAUAGGGGUUCUGAGAGGAAGGUCCCCCACAUUGGAACUGAGACACGGUCCAAACUCCUACGGGAGGCAGCAGUGAGGAAUAUUGGUCAAUGGGCGAGAGCCUGAACCAGCCAAGUAGCGUGAAGGAUGACUGCCCUAUGGGUUGUAAACUUCUUUUAUAAAGGAAUAAAGUCGGGUAUGGAUACCCGUUUGCAUGUACUUUAUGAAUAAGGAUCGGCUAACUCCGUGCCAGCAGCCGCGGUAAUACGGAGGAUCCGAGCGUUAUCCGGAUUUAUUGGGUUUAAAGGGAGCGUAGAUGGAUGUUUAAGUCAGUUGUGAAAGUUUGCGGCUCAACCGUAAAAUUGCAGUUGAUACUGGAUAUCUUGAGUGCAGUUGAGGCAGGCGGAAUUCGUGGUGUAGCGGUGAAAUGCUUAGAUAUCACGAAGAACUCCGAUUGCGAAGGCAGCCUGCUAAGCUGCAACUGACAUUGAGGCUCGAAAGUGUGGGUAUCAAACAGGAUUAGAUACCCUGGUAGUCCACACGGUAAACGAUGAAUACUCGCUGUUUGUGAUAUACAGCAAGCGGCCAAGCGAAAGCGUUAAGUAUUCCACCUGGGGAGUACGCCGGCAACGGUGAAACUCAAAGGAAUUGACGGGGGCCCGCACAAGCGGAGGAACAUGUGGUUUAAUUCGAUGAUACGCGAGGAACCUUACCCGGGCUUAAAUUGCAGAUGAAUUACGGUGAAAGCCGUAAGCCGCAAGGCAUCUGUGAAGGUGCUGCAUGGUUGUCGUCAGCUCGUGCCGUGAGGUGUCGGCUUAAGUGCCAUAACGAGCGCAACCCUUGUUGUCAGUUACUAACAGGUUCCGCUGAGGACUCUGACAAGACUGCCAUCGUAAGAUGUGAGGAAGGUGGGGAUGACGUCAAAUCAGCACGGCCCUUACGUCCGGGGCUACACACGUGUUACAAUGGGGGGUACAGAGGGCCGCUACCACGCGAGUGGAUGCCAAUCCCCAAAACCUCUCUCAGUUCGGACUGGAGUCUGCAACCCGACUCCACGAAGCUGGAUUCGCUAGUAAUCGCGCAUCAGCCACGGCGCGGUGAAUACGUUCCCGGGCCUUGUACACACCGCCCGUCAAGCCAUGGGAGCCGGGGGUACCUGAAGUGCGUAACCGCGAGGAGCGCCCUAGGGUAAAACUGGUGACUG